GCGCCGGCGCGCCGCCACUAGCCCGGGCAGCUGGGCCACCGCGCUGCUUGCAGCCAGGGCAGCAAGCGCUGCACUGGACCGCCGCCACCGCGCAACAGGCCGCGUCGGGCCGGGCUGCCACGCUCCGGCGCCGCCACCGCUCCUGGCUGCGCCGCUCUGAGCAGCCGCCGCAUCACCGACCGCGCUGCUCCUGACCGCCGUGCUCCGGGACCCUCCUCUCUGCGUCAUGUCUGCUCGUCCACUUGAUUCACUGCAGUAGAACAUCACCCCCUCUAUUCCAGUCAAGGAAGCCCAGCCACCGUCGUCGCUGUCAGAUCUGUGUCUGCAGUUUCACUGCGAAGCAUUAUGUUUGCUUUGCCUCGGAUCAAACGGAAAGGCAAGGAUGGAGAUCGUGGCUAAAGGGACCAAAGGUUCCUUGCUGUUAGAGACAACAAGCUCCACAUAAUAAGCCAACUAGCAAGCACUAGCAGAUCCUCGCCCUGUCUCCAUCCACACUAGUACGCUACCAGGCCUGGACUUUUUGUAACACCUCUCAAAACUGCUGUUAACCUGUGUAAAUUGUAUAGGCGUCCUCACACUUGCUACAGUGUACGGUUUGCCAUGCUAACUUACCUGUAAUAAUGAUUUAUAUUAUAUAUGAUAUCAUAUCUGUGCAAUAUUUUUUGCAUCGACCUUCAUUUCUAUUA
Molecule: long non-coding RNA, 686 nt
Organism: Panicum virgatum (switchgrass)
Lineage: Eukaryota; Viridiplantae; Streptophyta; Magnoliopsida; Poales; Poaceae
Exons: 4
Source: RefSeq, a predicted model, not a curated record